AAACAUGAGAGUUUGAUCCUGGCUCAGAGCGAACGCUGGCGGCGUGCCUAACACAUGCAAGCCGAACGUGACAGGGGGCAACCCUGAGUAAAGUGGCGUACGGGUGAGUAACGCGUAGGUAUUCUACCCCAGAGUCUGGAAUAACCUGCCGAAAGGCGGGCUAAUACUGGAUAGAGCGACGGAAUCCGUAAUUGGGUUUUUCGGGAAAGGGAGGACGUAAGUCCCUUCGCUUUGGGAUGAGCCUGCGUCUCAUUAGCUAGUUGGUGGGGUAAUGGCCCACCAAGGCAUUGAUGAGUAGCUGGUCUGAGAGGAUGAUCAGCCACACUGGAACUGAAACACGGUCCAGACUCCUACGGGAGGCAGCAGUGGGGAAUUUUGCGCAAUCGGGGAAACCCUGACGGACAAACGCCGCGUGGAGGAAGAAGUACAUCGGUACCUAAACACCUUUCGAUCGGGACGAUAAU
RNAcentral lists this ribosomal RNA (464 nucleotides) under Oligoflexia bacterium. Its description in RNAcentral is "bacterial SSU rRNA". It matches the Rfam family "Bacterial small subunit ribosomal RNA", at positions 1 to 452 of the family's 1533-position model. The record is from RNAcentral. Lineage: Bacteria; Pseudomonadati; Bdellovibrionota; Oligoflexia.